UACGUAGGGCGCAAGCGUUGUCCGGAAUUAUUGGGCGUAAAGAGCACGCAGGCGGUUUGGCAAGUCGGAUGUGAAAACCCGAAGCUCAACUUCGGGCCUGCAUCCGAAACUGCCCGACUAGAGGUAGGUAGGGGAGAUCGGAAUUCCUGGUGUAGCGGUGAAAUGCGCAGAUAUCAGGAGGAACACCGGUGGCGAAGGCGGAUCUCUGGGCCUUACCUGACGCUCAGGUGCGAAAGCUAGGGGAGCGAACAGG
RNAcentral lists this ribosomal RNA (253 nucleotides) under uncultured bacterium. RNAcentral describes it as "partial 16S ribosomal RNA". It matches the Rfam family "Bacterial small subunit ribosomal RNA", at positions 524 to 776 of the family's 1533-position model. The record is from RNAcentral.